CGGUGACGUGGAGCAAACCUCAGAAAGCCAAUCUCAGUUCGGAUUGUAGGCUGCAACUCGCCUACAUGAAGUUGGAAUCGCUAGUAAUCGCGAAUCAGAAUGUCGCGGUGAAUACGUUCCCGGGUCUUGUACACACCGCCCGUCACACCACGAGAGUUUACAACACCCGAAGUCAGUGGCCUAACCGCAAGGAGGGAGCUGCCUAAGGUGGGGUAGAUGAUUGGGGGUGAAGUCGUAACAAGGUAAC
RNAcentral lists this ribosomal RNA (247 nucleotides) under uncultured bacterium. Its description in RNAcentral is "partial 16S ribosomal RNA". It matches the Rfam family "Bacterial small subunit ribosomal RNA", at positions 1255 to 1500 of the family's 1533-position model. The record is from RNAcentral.